GAUCUGUUGGCGCACGCGGUAGCGCACCCACAGUAACUUUGAUGUCUUGGCAGAAGUUACAUAUGUGCGAGACCCCAGUUCGACUCUGGGAUGGAUCA
Molecule: non-coding RNA, 98 nt
Organism: Mycena rebaudengoi
Lineage: Eukaryota; Fungi; Basidiomycota; Agaricomycetes; Agaricales; Mycenaceae
Source: the annotation of a GenBank genome assembly